Long non-coding RNA from Amphiprion ocellaris (clown anemonefish), 582 nucleotides. The record is from Ensembl. Lineage: Eukaryota; Metazoa; Chordata; Actinopteri; Pomacentridae.
CCAGAGACUAUGGGUUGAGGAGGAAUUGGAAGUUUGUCGGCUUAGACCUGGUGUCAUUCCAUCAGUGUUAAACUUCCCGGCUCAUCUUGGAAGAGUACGUGCCAGAAAGACCACGACCAAGCAGCCUUGAGAUCUUAGACAGCGUCUCCCUGAGGUCUCUCUCUAUCUCCCCACACAUCCACCAACCACUGGAACACAUCUCCAAAGUUCUGCUGGACCAGCUCAGCUUCCCCUCAGAAGAAGUGCUGCCACCUGCCAGAUGAAGGAGCCUUUUGAGAGGCAGCUGGCAUCGUGAUUGGACUGUACUUUGGUCUGUUCCAAUCCAGCUUCAGCUCCAGAGACGGCAGGCGGGACGAGUCAACGGAGGCCGGAUGGACGAAGCGACUCCAUGGAUUUUAUGGAUGGUGGUUGAAGACCUGCUCUUCUCGUGGUCUUCCUUCUAGUUGCUGUAAAAAGUCAGUCCAUCCUGGCUGACUUCAACACCUCUUCAUGACAACUUGUUCUGCCUCCGACCUCGUGGAAACUCCAGAAACUCAGGAAAACCCGUGGAGACUCAGAUUUUCGAAAAACUCGUCGGGCGGG